UACGUAGGGGGAUAGCGUUGUCCGGAAUCAUUGGGCGUAAAGCGCGUGUAGGCGGUUCGGUAAGUCCGCUGUGAAAGUCGGGGGCUCAACCCUCGAAUGCCGGUGGAUACUGUCGGACUAGAGUACGGAAGAGGCGAGUGGAAUUCCUGGUGUAGCGGUGAAAUGCGCAGAUAUCAGGAGGAACACCAAUUGCGAAGGCAGCUCGCUGGGACGUUACUGACGCUGAGACGCGAAAGCGUGGGGAGCAAACAGG
RNAcentral lists this ribosomal RNA (253 nucleotides) under uncultured bacterium. RNAcentral's name for it is "partial 16S ribosomal RNA". It matches the Rfam family "Bacterial small subunit ribosomal RNA", at positions 524 to 776 of the family's 1533-position model. The record is from RNAcentral.